Vicia villosa (hairy vetch) is the source of this 447-nucleotide long non-coding RNA. RefSeq lists it as uncharacterized. The record is from RefSeq and is a predicted model, not a curated record. The transcript is spliced from 3 exons. NCBI's taxonomy places the organism in Eukaryota, Viridiplantae, Streptophyta, Magnoliopsida, Fabales, Fabaceae.
CAUUAAUAUGUCCAGCACCUUCUGUUAUGUGAUGAACUAAACUGGACCGCACAUGGCGCUAGCUGACAGGUCGGUUUGAGCACCUUCUCCUGUGAACUGUUUCAACUGGUUUUGCUGUGCCGAUCAGCUGAUGAUGUUGGAGUAUUCAAGAGCUUUAUCAUGGCGCAUUGUUUCGAGAACACAUGACGAUCAUGGUGAAGGCAUGAAGAUGAACCUCGAGGGAAGUGGGGGGAUAUGAAGGUGGAAUAAAAUAGGCAAGUCAUUUGAAUGCUAGCUCUGCCAGAAAUGUAAAACUAACAGUUCUUUUGUAAACUUAUGGGUUCGAGAUGAAAUCUGAAUUAGGCUAAAGGUUUGAAGCUGUUUGGUGUAGGACUAGUAAGUUGCCAAUCUUGAUUAGCAUAUGGUGUAACAUGGAGCUUGGUGUUUGGUCAUAGUAGGGUUGGUAUG